AACGAACGCUGGCGGCAUGCCUAACACAUGCAAGUCGAACGAGACCUUCGGGUCUAGUGGCGCACGGGUGCGUAACGCGUGGCAACCUGCCCUUAGGUUCGGAAUAACUCCCCGAAAGGGGUGCUAAUACCGGAUAAUGUCUUCGGACCAAAGAUUUAUCGCCUUUGGAUGGGCCCGCGUUGGAUUAGCUAGUUGGUAGGGUAAAAGCCUACCAAGGCGACGAUCCAUAGCUGGUCUGAGAGGAUGAUCAGCCACACUGGGACUGAGACACGGCCCAGACUCCUACGGGAGGCAGCAGUGGGGAAUAUUGGACAAUGGGCGAAAGCCUGAUCCAGCAAUGCCGCGUGAGUGAUGAAGGCCUUAGGGUUGUAAAGCUCUUUUACCCGGGAUGAUAAUGACGGUACCGGGAGAAUAAGCUCCGGCUAACUCCGUG
Molecule: ribosomal RNA, 433 nt
Filed under: uncultured bacterium
Lineage: Bacteria
Description: partial 16S ribosomal RNA
Rfam family: Bacterial small subunit ribosomal RNA
Source: RNAcentral